GAUGAAGAACGUAGCGAAAUGCGAUAAGUAAUGUGAAUUGCAGAAUUCAGUGAAUCAUCGAAUCUUUGAACGCACAUUGCGCCCGCCAGUAUUCUGGCGGGCAUGCCUGUUCGAGCGUCAUUUCAACCAUCAAGCCCCCGGCUUGUGUUGGGGACCUGCGGCUGCCGCAGGCCCUGAAAACCAGUGGCGGGCUCGCUGUCACACCGAGCGUAGUAGAUUUUCAUCUCGCUCAGGGCGUGCAGCGGGUUCCGGCCGUGAAACCCCCUACUUUUAAAGGUUGACCUCGGAUCAGGUAGGAAUACCCGCUGAACUUAAGCAUAUCAAUAAGCGGAGGA
RNAcentral lists this unclassified non-coding RNA (335 nucleotides) under soil metagenome. Its description in RNAcentral is "partial contains 5.8S ribosomal RNA, internal transcribed spacer 2, and large subunit ribosomal RNA". The stretch from base 1 to 120 matches the Rfam family "5.8S ribosomal RNA", at positions 35 to 154 of the family's 154-position model. The record is from RNAcentral.